This 463-nucleotide ribosomal RNA is filed under the name uncultured bacterium. RNAcentral's name for it is "bacterial SSU rRNA". It matches the Rfam family "Bacterial small subunit ribosomal RNA", at positions 917 to 1382 of the family's 1533-position model. The record is from RNAcentral.
GGGCCCGCACAAGCAGUGGAGUAUGUGGUUUAAUUCGAAGCAACGCGAAGAACCUUACCAGGUCUUGACAUCCCGAUGACCGCUGUGGAGACACAGCUUCUCUUCGGAGCAUUGGAGACAGGUGGUGCAUGGUUGUCGUCAGCUCGUGUCGUGAGAUGUUGGGUUAAGUCCCGCAACGAGCGCAACCCUUGUUGUCAGUUGCCAUCAUUUAGUUGGGCACUCUGGCGAGACUGCCGGUGACAAAUCGGAGGAAGGUGGGGACGACGUCAAAUCAUCAUGCCCCUUAUGACCUGGGCUACACACGUACUACAAUGGCGAUUACAAUGGGAUGCAAUGUCGCGAGGCGGAGCCAAUCCAUAAAAAUCGCCCCAGUUCAGAUUGCAGGCUGCAACUCGCCUGCAUGAAGUCGGAAUUGCUAGUAAUGGCAGGUCAGCAUACUGCCGUGAAUACGUUCCCGGGCCUU